This 378-nucleotide ribosomal RNA is filed under the name uncultured bacterium. RNAcentral's name for it is "bacterial SSU rRNA". It matches the Rfam family "Bacterial small subunit ribosomal RNA", at positions 528 to 896 of the family's 1533-position model. The record is from RNAcentral.
GAGGGUGCAAGCGUUAAUCAGAAUGACUGGGCGUAAAGGGCGUGUAGGUGGUUGACUAGGUUUGAUGUGAAAUCCCCGGGCUUAACCUGGGAAUUGCGUCGAAAACGGGUCGACUGGAGCGAGAUAGAGGGUUGUGGAAUUUCCGGUGUAGCGGUGAAAUGCGUAGAUAUCGGAAAGAACAUCAGUGGCGAAGGCGACAACCUGGAUCUUAACUGACACUGAGGCGCGAAGGCGUGGGGAGCAAACAGGAUUAGAUACCCUGGUAGUCCACGCAGUAAACGAUGAGAACUGGCUGUGAUGCGUAGGGAGCAAUCUCUGCGCGACGUAGCGAAGCUAACGCGUUAAGUUCUCCGCCUGGGGAGUACGGCCGCAAGGUUA